AGUUAAAAUUUUCAUCAAUUUUUAUUGCUAAAAACUAGUGUGGUUGAUGGAAUAACCAGACAGUCAUACAUGGCAUGCUAUGUUUACCUCAUGUCGAUGUACAAUACUAGUUUUUAAGAGUAAAAUGAAUGGAAUUUUUAAUA
This 143-nucleotide microRNA precursor is filed under the name Gossypium hirsutum (cotton). RNAcentral's name for it is "MIR7502 microRNA precursor family". It matches the Rfam family "MIR7502 microRNA precursor family". The record is from Rfam by way of RNAcentral. Lineage: Eukaryota; Viridiplantae; Streptophyta; Magnoliopsida; Malvales; Malvaceae.